CGACGGGACUCGGGCAGAAAUCAUGUUCAUAGAUGAGCUAAUGAUUUAAUAAUGUAGUAGAAUGAAGCAGGGUGAAAGCCGUUGAAGCUAAACGAGGCCACUUAAUGAGCACGACAUGUGGCUCGAAAGCAGCUGCUUCUGCUCCUUCUGGUCCUCAGAUUGUUUGGCUUCUGUCCAUAUUGCAUCACGUCAUGUGCGGGAUAAGAACUGGAUGGUGAUCCACCACAGGUUGGAGUUUCCAGAUUUGGGGCCAAGUCUAUGCGCAGUAUCGACCAUGUACUGUAGUUUCUCCACAGAGUGUGAAGAGAGGUUCCUGAACAGCUCAAUGACAACAAUUUUGACAAUUUCCCUUUCACGCUCAGCUUCUCAACCGUUAACUGCAGAGAAAGCACCUUCUCCGUCACGUCUUCCACCUGUCUAUUCAUGGAUUCAAGCGAGCAGGCCAGUUGUAGAAAGCUGCUGAGAUGAAAGAAGACACUAGCAUUCUUGUGCAUAUUCAGGACAAAGACUGUGUGUCUAUGGAGGUGCGAUACCACUGUUACAGACAGUACACCAGGUUCUUGACAAAGUCUACUGCAACAGUUACUGGGACCUCAGAAGAACAAAAUGAGCCAACCUUCGAUGCCAGCUACAAGAUCUUCUGUGAGAGGAUCAUCCGCCAUAGAAUAAUUGUAAACCAAGAGGUGCUGACAAUGAUGCAGCUAAGAAGUAUCUUUUUAAAUCUUGUGAAAAAACAUGAAGAUCUUGAUGCUUCAAACUACAGG
Cyprinus carpio carpio is the source of this 764-nucleotide long non-coding RNA. The record is from Ensembl. Lineage: Eukaryota; Metazoa; Chordata; Actinopteri; Cypriniformes; Cyprinidae.